This 496-nucleotide ribosomal RNA is filed under the name uncultured bacterium. Its description in RNAcentral is "partial 16S ribosomal RNA". It matches the Rfam family "Bacterial small subunit ribosomal RNA", at positions 28 to 506 of the family's 1533-position model. The record is from RNAcentral.
GACGAACGCUGGCGGCGUGCCUAAUACAUGCAAGUUGAGCGCUGAAGGUUGGUACUUGUACCAACUGGAUGAGCAGCGAACGGGCGAGUAACGCGUGGGGAAUCUGCCUUUGAGCGGGGGACAACAUUUGGAAACGAAUGCUAAUACCGCAUAAAAACUUUAAACACAAGUUUUAAGUUUGAAAGAUGCAAUUGCAUCACUCAAAGAUGAUCCCGCGUUGUAUUAGCUAGUUGGGGAGGUAAAGGCUCACCAAGGCGAUGAUACAUAGCCGACCUGAGAGGGUGGUCGGCCACAUUGGGAAUGGGAAACGGCCCAAACUCCUACGGGAGGCAGCAGUAGGGAAUCUUCGGCAAUGGACGAAAGUCUGACCGAGCAACGCCGCGUGAGUGAAGAAGGUUUUCGGAUCGUAAAACUCUGUUGGUAGAGAAGAACGUUGGUGAGAGUGGAAAGCUCAUCAAGUGACGGUAACUAACCAGAAAGGGACGGCUAACUACGU